GAUGAACGCUGGCGGCGUGCCUAAUACAUGCAAGUCGAACGAAAAUACGUUAUCAUCGAGUGCUUGCACUUACCGACAGACAGUUGAGUAGCGAAUGGAUGAGCAACAUGUGAGCAAGGUGCACCAACGAGAGGGAGAACACAUGGCAACAGGUUCUAAUAACCCAUAAGCAUAGAUACUGCAUGGCGACUAUGUUAAAGGUUGUAAUACUACCGCCUCCGGAUGGGCCCGCGGCGCAUUAGCUAGUUGGUAGGGUAAAGGCUUACCAAGGCAAUGAUGCGUAGCCGAAUUGAGAGGUUGAUCGGCCACAUUGGAACUGAGACACGGUCCAAACUCCUACGGGAGGCAGCAGUAGGGAAUCUUCCGCAAUGGGCGAAAGCCUGAUGGAGCAACGCCGCGUGGGUGAUGAAGGUCUUCGGAUCGUAAAACCCUGUUAUUAGGGAAGAACGAGCGUGAAAGUAACUAUUCACGUUUUGACGGUACCUAACCAGAAAGCCACGGCUAACUACGUG
RNAcentral lists this ribosomal RNA (512 nucleotides) under uncultured bacterium. Its description in RNAcentral is "partial 16S ribosomal RNA". It matches the Rfam family "Bacterial small subunit ribosomal RNA", at positions 28 to 507 of the family's 1533-position model. The record is from RNAcentral.